This 484-nucleotide ribosomal RNA is filed under the name uncultured bacterium. RNAcentral's name for it is "partial 16S ribosomal RNA". It matches the Rfam family "Bacterial small subunit ribosomal RNA", at positions 30 to 507 of the family's 1533-position model. The record is from RNAcentral.
AUUGAACGCUGGCGGCAGGCCUAACACAUGCAAGUCGAGCGGAUGAAGGGAGCUUGCUCCUGGAUUCAGCGGCGGACGGGUGAGUAAUGCCUAGGAAUCUGCCUGGUAGUGGGGUAUAACGUCCGGAAACGGGCGCUAAUACCGCAUACGUCCUGAGGGAGAAAGAGGGGGAUCUUCGGACCUCACGCUCUCAGAUGAGUCUAGGUGGGACUAGCUAGUUGGUGGGGUAAGGGCCUACCAAGGCGACGAUCCGUAACUGGUCUGAGAGGAUGAUCAGUCACACUGGAACGGAGACACGGUCCAGACUACUACGGGAGGCAGCAGUGGGGAAUAUUGGACAAUGGGCGAAAGCCUGAUCCAGCCAUGCCGCGUGUGUGAAGAAGGUCUUCGGAUUGUAAAGCACUUUAAGUUGGGAGGAAGGGCAGUAAGUUAAGACCUUGCUGUUUUGACGGUACCAACAGAAUAAGCACCGGCUAACUUCGUG